This 985-nucleotide long non-coding RNA is filed under the name Marmota monax (woodchuck). The record is from RNAcentral. Lineage: Eukaryota; Metazoa; Chordata; Mammalia; Rodentia; Sciuridae.
UCCAAGUUGCUAUCAAUAUUUUAAUGUAAUUUUCAAGAACAUAAAUUAAAACUUUUCACUAUGUGUUUUACAUACAUUAUCUCUUUGAUUCAAACCUAGUUAGGUCCAAUUUCUGAAACUUACUAAAUUACAUUUGGAAUGCAAUGUAAAACACAUCUGCUUUUGAUAUUCUGCCCUGUGGCUCACUCAGCACCAAUAGAGGGAACCUAGCACCUAAUUAGACAUUAAACAGUAGGAAGCCUAGAAUGAGCUACUCCAGAGACGAUCUCCUCAUGGGUGAGUAUAUAUUAAGUAAGAUUGUUGUGUGAGAUUAUAAGCCAGUCCACUCCUGAAAAAACAAUUCAUUUGCUUAUUUUCUAACUGUAAGUUGUCGGCUUUAUUAAUGGGAAGUUUUAUUGCAGUUGGGUUUUGUUUGAGGAUUUCUGGAAAGGAUAUAAAAAUAGAAACUUACAGUAGUCAAGUUUCUCAACAUCACAUUAGUUCUAUUUGAUUCUUGAUAUUGUCUACACAAAAAUAAACUAUAGCUUAAAUGUUUUUCAGUUAAUUGGCAAAGAAUUUUAAAUAAGCACCCUGAAUUGCUGCAAUAAAUGUCUAGAAAACUGUAUUCUGGAAAUACAAAAUUUUCUUUGGGGUGUGAAUAUAUGUUCUUCAGUUUGCCUGGGACAUCUGUGACCCUACUUAAAAUGAUUCUUACACUAAUUCUUGGUCUUUUUCUUUCUUUGUAUUUUUUGUGACCCGAUCACCUUCUUGCUUAGCAAAUGGAAAUUCUAGCAGUAAGUGACCUGUCUUGAUUUAUAGACUACUUACCCUUGCCAGACAAACUGGUUUUCAUCUGCCAUUGUCCUUUUGUGACCUAGUAAUGUUUUGUCAUGGACUACUUUAAAAGUAGUGUGUGCUUCAAUUUUGAUAGCCUUAAUCCAUGAAAUGUUGAUUGAAUAAAAUGAGAUUUUAUAAUAUGUAUGUACAACUAGCAGUUGCCUUUUUC